GUUCAUAUCGCGUUGAAACACCGGUUCUCGUCCGAUCACCAAAGUUAAGCAACGUUAAACCUGGUCAUUGUCUAGAUGGGUGACCGCUCGCGAAUACGAAGUGCUGCAAG
Molecule: non-coding RNA, 110 nt
Organism: Acanthosepion pharaonis
Lineage: Eukaryota; Metazoa; Mollusca; Cephalopoda; Sepiida; Sepiidae
Source: the annotation of a GenBank genome assembly